Pantherophis guttatus is the source of this 336-nucleotide non-coding RNA. Lineage: Eukaryota; Metazoa; Chordata; Lepidosauria; Squamata; Colubridae. The record is from RefSeq and is a predicted model, not a curated record.
GGACUGAUCCCUGGAAGCCAUAGAGAUUGAGAUUUCAACGUAGCACUCCAUCCAGGUUACUCUGAAUCUGAGCACAAAGCACCACAUAACACUGGACAGCUCACAUGAGGAAAAGAAGAUAAAGCACAAUGAAGUAAAGAAAAAUAUAAUAAAAUUAAUAAAGAAGAUUAAAAUCCAGACAACUGACACCAAAACGUAUGUCAAAUGUAUCCAAUACAUCAGACAAGGGCUUUUAUUUACCCUACCCCAAUGCCUGAGUGAACAGUAACAUUCGCCUUCUGGAAUACUAUCAGAAAUAUAUUUGUAAAAUAAAAAUAAACUAGGCAAAAGUUUUCA